GACGAAGGAUGCAAGCGUUAUCCGGAUUCAUUGGGUUUAAAGGGUGCGUAGGCGGUCUUAUAAGUCAGUGGUGAAAUCUCUCAGCUUAACUGAGAAACUGCCAUUGAUACUGUAGGACUUGAGUACAGAUGAUGUUGGCGGAAUAUGACAUGUAGCGGUGAAAUGCAUAGAUAUGUCAUAGAACACCGAUUGCGAAGGCAGCUGACAAAACUGUAACUGACGCUGGGGCACGAAAGUGUGGGGAUCAAACAGG
Molecule: ribosomal RNA, 253 nt
Filed under: uncultured bacterium
Lineage: Bacteria
Description: partial 16S ribosomal RNA
Rfam family: Bacterial small subunit ribosomal RNA
Source: RNAcentral